RNAcentral lists this ribosomal RNA (532 nucleotides) under Hepatozoon canis. RNAcentral describes it as "bacterial SSU rRNA". It matches the Rfam family "Eukaryotic small subunit ribosomal RNA", at positions 379 to 904 of the family's 1831-position model. The record is from RNAcentral. Lineage: Eukaryota; Apicomplexa; Hepatozoidae.
GAUUCCGGAGAGGGAGCCUGAGAAACGGCUACCACAUCUAAGGAAGGCAGCAGGCGCGCAAAUUACCCAAUUCUAACAGUUUGAGAGAGGUAGUAACAAGAAAUAACAAUACAAGGCAGUUAAAAUGCUUUGUAAUUGGAAUGAUAGAAAUUUAAACCCUUUUUAAAGUAUCAAUUGGAGGGCAAGUCUGGUGCCAGCAGCCGCGGUAAUUCCAGCUCCAAUAGCGUAUAUUAAAAUUGUUGCAGUUAAAAAGCUCGUAGUUGAAGUUCUGCUGAAAGUAACCGGUCUGCUUUUAAUAAAAGUGGUAUCUUGGUAUGUAUUUAGCAAUGAUGUCCUUUGAAGUGUUUUUUACUUUAUUGUAAUAAAGCAUAUUCAGGACUUUUACUUUGAGAAAAUUAGAGUGUUUCUAGCAGGCUGACGCUUUGAAUACUGCAGCAUGGAAUAAUAAGAUAGGAUUUUAGUUCUACAUUAUUGGUUUUAAGAGCUAAAUUAAUGAUUGAUAGGGACAGUUGGGGGCAUUUGUAUUUAACUG